Molecule: ribosomal RNA, 435 nt
Filed under: uncultured bacterium
Lineage: Bacteria
Description: partial 16S ribosomal RNA
Rfam family: Bacterial small subunit ribosomal RNA
Source: RNAcentral
AACGAACGCUGGCGGCAUGCCUAACACAUGCAAGUCGAACGAUUGCCUUCGGGUGAUAGUGGCGCACGGGUGCGUAACGCGUGGGAAUCUGCCCUUAGGUUCGGAAUAACAGCUGGAAACGGCUGCUAAUACCGGAUGAUAUCGCGAAAUCAAAGAUUUAUCGCCUGAGGAUGAGCCCGCGUUGGAUUAGGUAGUUGGUGGGGUAAAGGCCUACCAAGCCGACGAUCCAUAGCUGGUCUGAGAGGAUGAUCAGCCACACUGGGACUGAGACACGGCCCAGACUCCUACGGGAGGCAGCAGUGGGGAAUAUUGGACAAUGGGCGCAAGCCUGAUCCAGCAAUGCCGCGUGAGUGAUGAAGGCCCUAGGGUUGUAAAGCUCUUUUACCCGGGAAGAUAAUGACUGUACCGGGAGAAUAAGCCCCGGCUAACUCCGUG